UGGGCGUAAAGGGCUCGCAGGUGGUUUCUUAAGUCUGAUGUGAAAGCCCCCGGCUCAACCGGGGAGGGUCAUUGGAAACUGGGAAACUUGAGUGCAGAAGAGGAGAGUGGAAUUCCACGUGUAGCGGUGAAAUGCGUAGAGAUGUGGAGGAACACCAGUGGCGAAGGCGACUCUCUGGUCUGUAACUGACACUGAGGAGCGAAAGCGUGGGGAGCGAACAGGAUUAGAUACCCUGGUAGUCCACGCCGUAAACGAUGAGUGCUAAGUGUUAGGGGGUUUCCGCCCUUUAGUGCUGAAGUUAACGCAUUAAGCACUCCGCCUGGGGAGUACGGCCGCAAGGCUGAAACUCAAAGGAAUUGACGGGGGCCCGCACAAGCGGUGGAGCAUGUGGUUUAAUUCGAAGCAACGCGAAGAACCUUACCAGGUCUUGACAUCCUCUGACAACCCUAGAGAUAGGACUUCUCCUUCGGGAGCAGAGUGACAGGUGGUGCAUGGUUGUCGUCAGCUCGUGUCGUGAGAUGUUGGGUUAAGUCCCGCAACGAGCGCAACCCUUGAUCUUAGUUGCCAUCAUUCAGUUGGGCACUCUAAGGUGACUGCCGGUGACAAACCGGAGGAAGGUGGGGAUGACGUCAAAUCAUCAUGCCCCUUAUGACCUGGGCUACACACGUGCUACAAUGGACAGAACAAAGAGCUGCGAGACCGCGAGGU
This 708-nucleotide ribosomal RNA is filed under the name Bacillus cereus. Its description in RNAcentral is "bacterial SSU rRNA". It matches the Rfam family "Bacterial small subunit ribosomal RNA", at positions 555 to 1263 of the family's 1533-position model. Lineage: Bacteria; Bacillati; Bacillota; Bacilli; Caryophanales; Bacillaceae. The record is from RNAcentral.